This 469-nucleotide ribosomal RNA is filed under the name uncultured organism. RNAcentral's name for it is "partial 16S ribosomal RNA". It matches the Rfam family "Bacterial small subunit ribosomal RNA", at positions 335 to 796 of the family's 1533-position model. The record is from RNAcentral.
ACUCCUGCGGGAGGCAGCAGUGGGGAAUAUUGCACAAUGGGCGCAAGCCUGAUGCAGCCAUGCCGCGUGUAUGAAGAAGGCCUUCGGGUUGUAAAGUACUUUCAGCGGGGAGGAAGGCGAUAAGGUUAAUAACCUUGUUGAUUGACGUUACCCGCAGAAGAAGCACCGGCUAACUCCGUGCCAGCAGCCGCGGUAAUACGGAGGGUGCAAGCGUUAAUCGGAAUUACUGGGCGUAAAGCGCACGCAGGCGGUCUGUCAAGUCGGAUGUGAAAUCCCCGGGCUCAACCUGGGAACUGCAUUCGAAACUGGCAGGCUAGAGUCUUGUAGAGGGGGGUAGAAUUCCAGGUGUAGCGGUGAAAUGCGUAGAGAUCUGGAGGAAUACCGGUGGCGAAGGCGGCCCCCUGGACAAAGACUGACGCUCAGGUGCGAAAGCGUGGGGAGCAAACAGGAUUAGAAACCCGGGUAGUCC